Non-coding RNA from Drosophila melanogaster (fruit fly), 601 nucleotides. NCBI's taxonomy places the organism in Eukaryota, Metazoa, Arthropoda, Insecta, Diptera, Drosophilidae. The record is from Ensembl.
AGCUGAGCUAAGCUGAGCUGUGCCAGCGGAAUUUCAGUGGUGUAAUAACGAAAUGUACAGAAGAAUCGAGGACGACAACCGAACGAGCAGCGAACAAUGCUGGCGACAACAAGCCUGCUCGAUUCCAGCGAAUGAAAAUAAUUAAAAAGCAAAACAAUAUAUAGAUAUAUAUUAAACGCACACAGCGGCGGGCACAAAAUAAAAUAAUUGAAAAACAAAUGGAAAAAGAGCGAGAGACACACACGAGCGCCAAAGCACUGAAAUAAAAUAUGAAAUGUUGGCAAUUAAUGAACAGCAAAAAAAAAAAACCCAGGGAGCUGUGGAAAAAUGAAACAAACAAAAAAUGAGCUUGCGCCAUGACCGACCGAUACCAGACGCCUCUGACUCCAACUGGGUGACCACUGGGCUUGGCCACGGCCCAGUGACUUCUGCCGGAGUCUUCAGCUCUAGCACACGUGCACUGAACGAAAUUGCUGGCCUAGAACCAAAGAAAUAAUCUUAGAGAGUUAUAUAUUUGUUUAUUGACAAAAAGUUCGGAUUUUAGUUAUACUUUUCGGCAAUACGUGUUCUAUUAAAUGGAUCUAUUUCCUUACCAUUUCAU